CUAGCGGGAAGGAGUUGGUAAUUGAAGUAGUGGCAGCUGCCUGUGCUAUCAGCUAUCAGCAAGAGCUCCCAGCGACUCCACUUAAGAACUGCGGCUAAUAACUCCUUGU
This 109-nucleotide non-coding RNA is filed under the name Pseudopedinella elastica. The record is from RNAcentral. Lineage: Eukaryota; Dictyochophyceae; Pedinellales.